RNAcentral lists this ribosomal RNA (492 nucleotides) under uncultured bacterium. RNAcentral's name for it is "partial 16S ribosomal RNA". It matches the Rfam family "Bacterial small subunit ribosomal RNA", at positions 29 to 507 of the family's 1533-position model. The record is from RNAcentral.
AGUGAACGCUGGCGGUAGGCCUAACACAUGCAAGUCGAACGGCAGCACAGUAAGAGCUUGCUCUUACGGGUGGCGAGUGGCGGACGGGUGAGGAAUACAUCGGAAUCUACUUUUUCGUGGGGGAUAACGUAGGGAAACUUACGCUAAUACCGCAUACGACCUACGGGUGAAAGCAGGGGAUCAUCGGACCUUGCGCGAUUGAAUGAGCCGAUGUCGGAUUAGCUAGUUUGCGGGGUAAAGGCCCACCAAGGCGACGAUCCGUAGCUGGUCUGAGAGGAUGAUCAGCCACACUGGAACUGAGACACGGUCCAGACUCCUACGGGAGGCAGCAGUGGGGAAUAUUGGACAAUGGGCGCAAGCCUGAUCCAGCCAUACCGCGUGGGUGAAGAAGGCCUUCGGGUUGUAAAGCCCUUUUGUUGGGAAAGAAAAGCAGCAGGUUAAUACCCCGCUGUUCUGACGGUACCCAAAGAAUAAGCACCGGCUAACUUCGUG